RNAcentral lists this small nuclear RNA (23 nucleotides) under Arabidopsis thaliana (thale cress). RNAcentral's name for it is "snRNA_16107". Lineage: Eukaryota; Viridiplantae; Streptophyta; Magnoliopsida; Brassicales; Brassicaceae. The record is from RNAcentral.
AAAGACUGUCUAUCAAAACAUAG